Molecule: long non-coding RNA, 1346 nt
Organism: Camelina sativa (false flax)
Lineage: Eukaryota; Viridiplantae; Streptophyta; Magnoliopsida; Brassicales; Brassicaceae
Source: RefSeq, a predicted model, not a curated record
GUGUCAGCUGUUUAUAUUUUUCCUCUCUCUCUCUUUUUUUCUCUCUCUCUUUCUCUCGCGAUUGAAUCCCCUAAACGAGAAAACAAUUUGGAAUCAGAAGCUUCAAGGUUUGGAAUCGCAGGACCUGGAAUCAGAGGAAGGGUCUCUCCUUCAAACGAUCCCUUACUCUGACCACAACAGGUGGUGGUCUUGUGAAAAUGUAGCAGUGGUGACCGGUUGGAAUUGUACUUGAGAUUGCAAGGCAGCUUGCAGGUCAUGGAUUGACUGUUGUUCUUACAGCCAGAAACGUGGAUUUGAUCAAUCCCUAAGUUUGAUUUAUCUCUCUCUUUCGAUUGUCCUUUUGAAAAUGUUUUGACUUUAGUACUCUCUGUUCCAUUUAAAUGUUGCCAUUGCUUUGGUGAUAUGCUGGCUUGUAGUUGUUCUCUGAUCACAUUUGCUUUGAUCAGAGCUUUUCCUCUGUUUGCAUUUUCUAGAGUUGUUUUGGUAUUGAUUUAAAACUUUGCUUAAUUUUUUAAGUUGGGAACGUAUAUAUGAUUGUUGUUGAUGUAAUGGUGGUUUUUGGGUUUUAGGUAGAGAAGAAGUUUGAUUCAAAGAAGAGUGCAAGGCCGGUUUAUCCAUUUGCAGCUAUAGUAGGGCAAGAUGAGAUGAAGUUAUGUCUUCUGUUGAAUGUGAUUGAUCCAAAGAUUGGUGGUGUGAUGAUUAUGGGAGAUAGAGGAACUGGCAUAUCUACAGCUGUUAGAUCAUUAGUUGAUCUGUUGCCUGAGAUCAUACAACCGUAUUUGUAGUUUUGACUGUGACCAAAGCUGUGGUCUUGGAAUUAUGAUUCAGGUUUCAGGAGAGAAUGGUGGAUCCAAAGCUGGGAAGAGAAGCAAGCAGGAUGAAGCUGGGAGUAGUAAAAACGGAAUAGAGAAGUGUGAUAGUAAACUGGUGAAGCUGAUGAAUGGAGAUGUUCAGUACUUGAGACAAGCUGGAAAAUCAAGUUUCAUUAUCACUGCAGAACUCGCUGCAGCAAACAAGUAGUCCCCAAAACAUUGUUGAAGUGAACCCGCUACAUAUCUCUGUUUCUUUGAUGCAGACCAUCGAGAUUAAUGUGUGUGAGGGUUGGAAGAGAAGAAAGAAACAUUGUGAAAGUGAAUGGUUUGCGUAUGAAGCUAGAACCAUACAAGGAGAUUGUGUCUGCUGCUUUGUUUGACAUUAUAGCUCAGGUUACAGUUUCAAACACUUUUCUUACCAGUUUAGUUCUGUAAUUGUAGAUUUACUCAGAUUUUUGUGUCUUUUUUCUUCAGGAUGCAAGCUUUUUGUAAUUACAGUUUAAUCAUUUAUACUACUUCUAAUCUAUUUAAACU